CCUACGGGGGGCUGCAGUGGGGAAUAUUGCGCAAUGGGGGAAACCCUGACGCAGCAACGCCGCGUGAAGGAUGAAGGUUUUCGGAUCGUAAACUUCUUUGAUGAGGGACGAAACAAAUGACGGUACCUCAAAAACAAGCCACGGCUAACUACGUGCCAGCAGCCGCGGUAAUACGUAGGUGGCGAGCGUUGUCCGGAAUUACUGGGUGUAAAGGGCGUGUAGGCGGGAAUGCAAGUCAGAUGUGAAAUGCCGAGGCUUAACUUCGGAGCUGCAUCUGAAACUGUGUUUCUUGAGUGUCGGAGAGGAAAGUGGAAUUCCCAGUGUAGCGGUGAAAUGCGUAGAUAUUGGGAGGAACACCAGUGGCGAAGGCGACUUUCUGGACGAUAACUGACGCUGAGGCGCGAAAGCGUGGGGAGCAAACAGGAUUAGAUACCCUUGUAGUC
This 443-nucleotide ribosomal RNA is filed under the name uncultured bacterium. RNAcentral describes it as "partial 16S ribosomal RNA". It matches the Rfam family "Bacterial small subunit ribosomal RNA", at positions 338 to 795 of the family's 1533-position model. The record is from RNAcentral.